GUCUUUGUUAUUUCCAUAUAUUUCAUUAUUAGAAGGAA
Molecule: small RNA, 38 nt
Filed under: uncultured marine Prymnesiales
Lineage: Eukaryota; Haptophyta; Prymnesiales
Description: partial Mitochondrion-encoded tmRNA
Source: RNAcentral